Molecule: ribosomal RNA, 253 nt
Filed under: uncultured bacterium
Lineage: Bacteria
Description: partial 16S ribosomal RNA
Rfam family: Bacterial small subunit ribosomal RNA
Source: RNAcentral
UACGUAGGGUGCAAGCGUUAUCCGGAUUUACUGGGUUUAAAGGGUGCGCAGGCGGAUAUGUAAGUCAGUGGUGAAAUCUUCCCGCUUAACGGGAAAACUGCCGUUGAUACUAUAUAUCUUGAAUGCUGUGGAGGUGAGCAGAAUAUGUCAUGUAGCGGUGAAAUGCUUAGAUAUGACAUAGAACACCAAUUGCGAAGGCAGCUCACUACGGGAAUAUUGACACUGAGGCACGAAAGCGUGGGGAUCAAACAGG